This 270-nucleotide ribosomal RNA is filed under the name Triticum aestivum (bread wheat). Its description in RNAcentral is "partial small subunit ribosomal RNA". Lineage: Eukaryota; Viridiplantae; Streptophyta; Magnoliopsida; Poales; Poaceae. The record is from RNAcentral.
AUGCUAAAGGAUGAUUUACCCAUGGACAAAGAUUGCUUUAAUUUGGUUGUACGAAAGUUUAUGUUUGAUGACAUCCAAAUGGCACAAAAAACAAAACAUUUGAUAGCAAAACAUUAUCUGGAUAUGAAAUUUUGGAUGACUACUGAUUUUGGACGGCACCCAGACUUCCGUAAGAAGUUAGAUGUGGAACAACUAGCAAAUUCUGUUCAUAAUUGGCCUGGUAUAAAAUAUAAUGUUUCAACAUGCAAAACGAUCCAUAUUCCAGUAUAG